This 317-nucleotide unclassified non-coding RNA is filed under the name uncultured fungus. RNAcentral's name for it is "partial contains 5.8S ribosomal RNA, internal transcribed spacer 2, and large subunit ribosomal RNA". The record is from RNAcentral. Lineage: Eukaryota; Fungi.
AACGCACAUUGCACUCUAUGGUAUUCCGUAGAGUAUGCCUGUUUCAGUAUCAUGAACACCUCACUACUAUAACUUUAUUGUUAUGAUAGUGGAUUUGGAAUGCGCUGGUGUUAGUCAGCCCUUCUAAAAUGGAGUUCUUGCACUGUUGAUUUGUUUUAACAGCAAUGUUGGCCUAAUAAGUUUCAGCAGCAAUGUUGAAAUCACUGGCUUUUUUUGCUUAGAAUCGGACAGUCUUGAUAUACAGAAUUUUUGAGGUGACUUUUGUCUCCUCUUCAAAUUUUGAUCUGAAAUCAGGUAGGAUUACCCGCUGAACUUAA